RNAcentral lists this ribosomal RNA (378 nucleotides) under uncultured bacterium. Its description in RNAcentral is "partial 16S ribosomal RNA". It matches the Rfam family "Bacterial small subunit ribosomal RNA", at positions 338 to 731 of the family's 1533-position model. The record is from RNAcentral.
CCUACGGGAGGCAGCAGUGGGGAAUAUUGGGCAAUGGGCGCAAGCCUGACCCAGCAACGCCGCGUGAGGGAAGAAGGCUUUCGGGUUGUAAACUUCUGUUAAGAGGGAAGAACAGAAGACGGUACCUCUUGAAUAAGCCACGGCUAACGACGUGCCAGCGUCCGCGGUAAUACGGAGGGGGCAAGCGUUGUCCGGCUGUACGGGGUGUAAAGGGCGGGUAGCCGGGCUGACAAGGCAGAUGUGAAAUUCCGGGGCUCAACCCGGGACCUGCAUUUGAAACUGUUGGUCUUGAGUCUCGGAGAGGCAGGCGGAAUUCCUAGUGUAGCGGUGAAAUGCGUAGAUAUUAGGAGGAACACCAGUGGCGAAGGCGGCUUGCUG